This 428-nucleotide unclassified non-coding RNA is filed under the name Hevea brasiliensis (rubber tree). Lineage: Eukaryota; Viridiplantae; Streptophyta; Magnoliopsida; Malpighiales; Euphorbiaceae. The record is from RNAcentral.
GGACUCCUUUUAUCAAAGCCGCUAAGCCGCUCACGUGUGGACACGACAUGGAUGUGCCUGAGAUAAUGUUGAACUCGACCCGUCUAUCGUCCUCUGCCAUCCCCGUCGGGCCGACGGCUCCGGUCCAACCGGCCAGAAUGUUUACACCGGGCGCGAUAAUAUCCGGUUUGAGUAUCUCCGGGGUGAUUGAAUUUGGGCCUCUAGAACUGAACGCUGCGACAACCGGUGACGGUUCGAUGUCUACUUUUGUUCCUCCAAAAAGAAUUUCGGCCGUUGGAUUAGGAUCUGAGAAUAAAUAUUUCUUGAUUACAUCACCGGCUUUUUGACCCACCGCCGCCGCUGGAAGUAAAUGGGCGUCAGCCACUAGUUCCUCCCCAUUUGCUGCGGUGUUAGCCAAAACCAUGCCGGCUCCACCAGCCUCUUUUACC